This is a non-coding RNA of Peromyscus maniculatus bairdii (prairie deer mouse), 1116 nucleotides long. The record is from RefSeq and is a predicted model, not a curated record. NCBI's taxonomy places the organism in Eukaryota, Metazoa, Chordata, Mammalia, Rodentia, Cricetidae.
UUUCGAGACAGGAAUAGGGGACAUGAGAGUUGGUGUAGAAUAAGGAGUAGAGUCUGUCCUGAGGAACUUCCUGUCAACAAAGGAGAUGUGUGUGCUGACCUGUGACAGGGGCCAUGCACAGUCUAGAGCAGGAACAAACCUCCCCUGAAGUGCAGAGUGGGAGGGAGCUAGGAAGAGCCAGCAAUGAGGAGGAGAGGGCCUGCUCUGAUGGUUCCUACCAUGUGUCAAGGCACACAAGUAGGAUGUUGACUUGGAAAUAACAUCAUGUUCUUUCCUACAGAUCUGGGGUGAAGCAGGAGAAAGAUGCAGCACUAUUGGUCAGUGGAGUCCCAUCCUCCUCAGUGCUGACCUCCUUCAUCCAGGCUUCCCAUGGUGCCUCCCACCUCCUGAUCCAAGAAUUCUGCAUCAUUUUUCCAUCUCAUAGAGGCAUUUAUAACUGAUACUUGACCUUGCAUUAACAUUGUUCUGCUCCAGUGUGGGAAGGACGCCUUCCAGUUAGGGAGCAGCUCACUGAUUUGGCAAGGGGAAAUGAACUCGACAGGGAAUCCAGGGUCCUAAUCUGUGUGAAUCAUGCACCUGAAGGUAAGAUUGAGUACAGUAAGUAUCUGUGUGUGGCAGAAGAUAAGUCUCUGAAGUCUGGUCUUGAUGUGCUGAAAAGGAUCUCAUGAAGUGUAAUGUGCCAGCAUCCCCGACACAAAGGUAAAUUUAUCAUUGACUUGCUCAACUGAAGAGCAAUGGGAGACUGAGAGACUGCAGAGGUGUGACAAGGGAGGAACCAGCUUCUCUGCUGUAGUUGGCCUCCAGCUCCACUCUGACCAUCUGAUCCUGGGCUGUUAGCAAACACUGAUGCAUGUUAAAGUCUUUGGCCGGAUCUUCCCAGUGGAUGAUAGCCAGCUUGUGCUGUCACUGACUUCUAGAACCCUGACCAUCUGGUGAGUCCCAAGUGCACAAUACAAGAUCAGUCAGUUUGUUCAGGAAGAGAGAGAGAGAAAUGUUCAGUUUGUGGCUAUCACCUGGUGUCAGACUGUGUUUCUGCUGCAUAUCAGUGAAGGCAGGGCUGAGAAAUGGUUGAGAAGUCUGUUAAUGAGAUAGGGAUAUUUCGUGACUCCUCAUUUU